AUUGGUAUCGUAACAGUAAUUGAAGUUAGUACGAGAGGAACCCUUCAUUCAGAUAAUUGGUAUUUGCGGCUGKUUGAAAGGCCAAUGCCGCGAAGCUACCAUCUGCUGGAUAMUGGCUGAACGCCUCUAMGUCAGMAUCCAUGCUGGAMACGAUACUGCURUGUUUUGAUCGUACCAGAUGAGUACAAAUAAAGCUUCGGCUUGAAAACCAUAUUUGUAGGUUAGGUUUAGUUACGGAAAUGUGGCUAGAUCUACUUACUGAUGAUAAUGCUAAUACAUCAAAAUGAUAAAUCGCAUGCAGACGACAUGAAAUGGACGGGGUAUUGUAAGUACUAGAG
Molecule: non-coding RNA, 338 nt
Filed under: Choanephora cucurbitarum
Lineage: Eukaryota; Fungi; Mucoromycota; Mucoromycetes; Mucorales; Choanephoraceae
Description: Choanephora infundibulifera f. cucurbitarum Eukaryotic large subunit ribosomal RNA
Rfam family: Eukaryotic large subunit ribosomal RNA
Source: Rfam by way of RNAcentral